RNAcentral lists this ribosomal RNA (253 nucleotides) under uncultured bacterium. Its description in RNAcentral is "partial 16S ribosomal RNA". It matches the Rfam family "Bacterial small subunit ribosomal RNA", at positions 524 to 776 of the family's 1533-position model. The record is from RNAcentral.
UACGUAGGGUGCGAGCGUUGUCCGGAAUUAUUGGGCGUAAAGGGCUCGUAGGCGGUCUGUCGCGUCGGGAGUGAAAACUCAGGGCUUAACCCUGAGCCUGCUUCCGAUACGGGCAGACUAGAGGUAUGCAGGGGAGAACGGAAUUCCUGGUGUAGCGGUGGAAUGCGCAGAUAUCAGGAGGAACACCGGUGGCGAAGGCGGGUCUCUGGGCCGAUAUUGACGCUGAGGAGCGAAAGCGUGGGGAGCGAACAGG